Molecule: long non-coding RNA, 668 nt
Organism: Cynoglossus semilaevis (tongue sole)
Lineage: Eukaryota; Metazoa; Chordata; Actinopteri; Pleuronectiformes; Cynoglossidae
Exons: 2
Source: RefSeq, a predicted model, not a curated record
GGCCAUGUCUCCAGAUGGGGAGGUGAUAGUGACAGGGGCCGGAGGGAAAGACGAGACCCUUUGCUUCUGGAAACUUUUUAGCAACACAAGGUCAACAAAGGACCUGGUAUCAAAUCUAAACCUUUUCACCAGAAUGCGAUGAUGUCACAUCAGAAUCUGACAUCAGGAUUUUUAAGUGGAUCCUCGUCACUAGUGACUGUGGAGUUAAGGACGACAUGGGAGUAAAUCUAGAUUUUUGAAUUUAAGAACAAAAGAUAUCUUUUUUUGACUAUGCGGGGAAAAAUCUUUCUGACAUUUAAUCAUACAAUGAUCUGUGUAAUUUCACUUAUCACCAAAUCUAACAUAUGCACUCAACACCUGGUGUUUAUUUUAACUAAAAUUAACUUUAUUGCACUUUAAAUUUAUUAAUAUUACAUUUUUUAACCAUGCUAUUUGCCUCACAUUACAUCUUUCUGUCCAGGCAGUCACACCUCUCCAUUAUCCCUUGGUUGGUUUGAGGGAAAUUCAAAGAAUUUUUAAAAUAUGUUGCCGUGUUCUUCAAGUUUGCACUUCUGGUAAUUCAGUGUUCAUGUUUAUAUACUUAGUGUUUAACUGUUCAUCAGAACAAACUGCACAACUGCAUCUAAAAUGGUCACUGCUGAAAUCAAAUAAAGCUUUACCAAACAGUA